UAUUCCCAUUUCCCCUCAACUUUCAAGUCUCCACUGGCAACAAAAAAGAAACGAAACCCUAGAAAAUUACCAGUGUUGGCGACCAAAGGUGACCCCUGCUUCAAUUUUACGAGGAGUGGAGUAAUGGAGUUAGUGAAGAAGGGAUACUGUGCAGAUAUUUCGUACACUGAUGGGAUUCACUUAAAGUACAAUCCAAGUUGUCUACUGAUGUUGUUCAUCGGGGGGGCUUCUAUAGUAGCUCAAGGUUCACUGCAGAACUGAAAUUGCUCAUCUUUAUUCCUCCAAACUAAAAAAAGAAGAAAAAAGUGGACAAUCUUCAUGUCCCUCUCACGGGUUCAAAGAUAAAAAGGUUCACCCUAACGAGUAGCAAAGACACCAACAAUUGUUGAGAGCUUAGCUUCACUCUCUGUACCACAUGGGAUCUAUCACAUGUGAUUGACAUCAUCAAAGGGAGUGGACACUGGAUGAGAAUACAUUGCAAUAUUGAUUGAAUUAUCUAAAGCAGCUGAUAGAUUUCUUUACAAGCUUCGCCUGCAGCACAAAAAGAGGACAUCAACUCAAUUACGGAUCAUCUUGCAAAGGAGGCUGGAAAUCAAAUUCAUGCCUUAACUGAAUCAGGACAUUAUAGAAAGGUCGGAACUGAAAAGGAGUACACCAUUAUGGGAUGAAUUAAAAAAAUUUAGUACCCUACAAGUAAUUGAGCUGCGACAACUGUGUUCAAGGUUCAUCAUUCCGCAGGUGAUGGAUAUUCAUUCAUGGGUGCCAUGUUUAACCGUUUACAAAGAGAUGAUUUCCUUCUCUCUAUGCAAUCUUAUGAUCACAUGAAUAAGAAGAACGUUUUGGAGUUUCUCCUGUUUUGAAGAACUGUAUAAAAUUUUUCUCGCAGAGGCUUUUCAAGAGUUGUGUGUUGAUAAAUCAUGUUAAUCCUAUUAUGUCAGGUAGAGAAGGAGGUGAAUUUAUGCGAGUUUCAAUCUGUACUGUCACUUCUCUCCUGAUCAAAGCUAAGAAAUCUAAGUCAAAGCUUGGUGAGGAAAAAUCAUUUUCUUUUUAUCGAGAUCUAAACGAAAUAUCAAGCUGGCUCUCCGCGGAUUGAGACUCACUUUGUGGUUUCUAUGUGGACUAUGGUAUGAUUAAGUUGGUUAUUAGUUGAGUUAUGGAGAUGGAUUUUUUUCAUUUGUCAUUAAGGGUCAUAUGUGAUGGUUAGCUGGAUGGGCUCAACCAAAAGAGGCUUAAAAAAAUUUGUUUCAGGACAUCAAGUUCAUUCUAGCCAUGCGUGUUAAUAAGGCUAAAGUACAUGCAUACAAAGUGUUGCUAUUCUAGAUUAAGUCACAAACUCCAGUAUGACUGUUUAAGUUAGCGAGGGAAUACAUUUCCCGUUUGUUGGAUUUGUUUGUUCAUGUCAGUGGAGGUACAUGCAAAUCAUCCAAUGAAUAAAAAUUGGAUGACGUGAUAAAAUUGAUGUCCGGGCAGAAAGAGAGAAUUCGAAACUUAUUGGUAGGGUAGGUUUUACUUUUGUAAGAGCAUGCCCUUCUAAGCAAGCACCGUAUGUCAACAACAAAAAAUAUAAAAUCUAAGUUAUUCUUUUCGGUGAUAGAAAGUUCAUCUAUCCACUUAUUACGGCACGGGUCAUAUCCUAGUAGGACAACAAAAACGGAAGAAGCUGGGGUGCAUUCCAUUUUGAAUUAUCAGAGAGCUGGUUCAGAUUCAUGCAUAAAAUAUAUAGACAAAUUGGAUUCCUAGUCUUAAGUAUUGUCAAAAUGAAUUUGUGACAUUGCGAUUAGAUUUUCUUAUUUGGAUGUUGUAAAAUGAAUAAGUGUGUUCGGGUUAUGCAGCCAUGGAUAUGUUGCAGCUUCACAUGCAUUAAGUGUUUACUAACUGUUUUUCAAAUUUGUAGCUGCAUAGUAG
Long non-coding RNA from Papaver somniferum (opium poppy), 1905 nucleotides. RefSeq lists it as uncharacterized. The record is from RefSeq and is a predicted model, not a curated record. NCBI's taxonomy places the organism in Eukaryota, Viridiplantae, Streptophyta, Magnoliopsida, Ranunculales, Papaveraceae. The transcript is spliced from 7 exons.